This 484-nucleotide ribosomal RNA is filed under the name uncultured bacterium. RNAcentral's name for it is "partial 16S ribosomal RNA". It matches the Rfam family "Bacterial small subunit ribosomal RNA", at positions 30 to 507 of the family's 1533-position model. The record is from RNAcentral.
AUUGAACGCUGGCGGCAGGCCUAACACAUGCAAGUCGAGCGGAUGAAGGGAGCUUGCUCCUGGAUUCAGCUGCGGACGGGUGGGUAAUGCCUAGGAAUCUGCCUGGUCUUGGGGGAUAACGUCCGUACACGGGCGCUAAUACCGCAUCCGUCCUGAGUGUGAAAGUGGGGGAUCUUCGGACCACACGCUUCUAGAUGAGCCUAGGUCGUAUUAGCUAGUUGGUUGGGUAAAGGCCUACCAAGGCGACGAUCCGUAACUGGUCUGAGAGGAUGAUCAGUCACACUGGAACUGAGACACGGUCCAGACUCCUACGGGAGGCAGCAGUGGGGAAUAUUGGACAAUGGGCGAAAGCCUGAUCCAGCCAUGCCGCGUGUGUGAAGAAGGUCUUCGGAUUGUAAAGCACUUUGAGUUGGGAGGAAGGGCAGUAAGUUAAUACCUUGCUGUUUUGACGUUACCAACAGAAUAAGCACCGGCUAACUUCGUG